GUUUUCGGAUGGAAUUUAAUAAACUUAUCGGCGGACGGGUGAGUAACGCGUGGGCAACCUGCCCUGUACAGAGGGACAACAACGGGAAACCGUUGCUAAUACCCCAUAAAACCCUAAAGGGGCAUCCCUUAUGGGUCAAAGAAUUUCGGUACAGGAUGGGCCCGCGUCUGAUUAGCUAGUUGGUGAGGUAAUGGCUCACCAAGGCGACGAUCAGUAGCCGACCUGAGAGGGUGAUCGGCCACACUGGAACUGAGACACGGUCCAGACUCCUACGGGAGGCAGCAGUGGGGAAUAUUGCACAAUGGGGGAAACCCUGAUGCAGCAACGCCGCGUGAGCGAUGAAGGCCUUCGGGUCGUAAAGCUCUGUCCUAAGGGAAGAAAUUUGACGGUACCUUAGGAGGAAGCCCCGGCUAACUACGUGCCAGCAGCCGCGGUAAUACGUAGGGGGCAAGCGUUAUCCGGAAUCACUGGGCGUAAAGGGUGCGUAGGCGGUCUUACAAGUCAGGGGUGAAAGGCUACGGCUCAACCGUAGUAAGCCUUUGAAACUGUAGGACUUGAGUGCAGGAGAGGAAAGUGGAAUUCCUAGUGUAGCGGUGAAAUGCGUAGAUAUUAGGAGGAACACCAGUGGCGAAGGCGACUUUCUGGACUGUAACUGACGCUGAGGCACGAAAGUGUGGGGAGCAAACAGGAUUAGAUACCCUGGUAGUCCACACCGUAAACGAUGAGUGCUAGGUGUUGGGGGUCGAACCUCAGUGCCGCAGCUAACGCAUUAAGCACUCCGCCUGGGGAGUACGCUCGCA
This 800-nucleotide ribosomal RNA is filed under the name uncultured bacterium. RNAcentral's name for it is "bacterial SSU rRNA". It matches the Rfam family "Bacterial small subunit ribosomal RNA", at positions 73 to 890 of the family's 1533-position model. The record is from RNAcentral.